GCUGGCGGCGUGCCUAACACAUGCAAGUCGAACGGUAACAGGGCUAGCUUGCUAGCCGCUGACGAGUGGCGCACGGGUGAGUAACGCGUGGGUAACCUGCCCAUCAGUGGGGAAAAACUCCGGGAAACCGGAGCUAAUACCGCAUACGACCUUCGGGUGAAAGAGGGGGAUCUUCGGACCUCUCGCUGAUGGAUGGGCCCGCGUCCGAUUAGCUUGUUGGUGAGGUAAUGGCUCACCAAGGCUCCGAUCGGUAACUGGUUUGAGAGGAUGAUCAGUCACACUGGAACUGAGACACGGUCCAGACUCCUACGGGAGGCAGCAGUGGGGAAUUUUGCACAAUGGGCGAAAGCCUGAUGCAGCGACGCCGCGUGCGGGAAGAAGGCCUUCGGGUUGUAAACCGCUUUCAACAGGGAAGAAGGAAUGAGGGCUAAUACCCCUCUGCCUUGACGGUACCUGUAGAAGAAGCACCGGCUAAUUUCGUGCCAGCAGCCGCGGUAAUACGAAAGGUGCAAGCGUUGUUCGGAUUUACUGGGCGUAAAGCGCGCGUAGGCGGCUAAUCAAGUCGGAUGUGAAAUCCCGGGGCUCAACCCCGGAACUGCAUUCGAAACUGGUUGGCUAGAGUUCGAGAGGGGGAUGCGGAAUUCCGAGUGUAGCAGUGAAAUGCGUAGAUAUUCGGAGGAACACCUGAGGCGAAGGCGGCAUCCUGGAUCGACACUGACGCUGAGGUGCGAAAGCGUGGGUAGCAAACAGGAUUAGAUACCCUGGUAGUCCACGCCCUAAACGAUGUCUACUAGCCGUUGCGGGUAUCGACCCCUGCAGUGGCAAAGCUAACGCGAUAAGUAGACCGCCUGGGGAGUACGGCC
This 863-nucleotide ribosomal RNA is filed under the name uncultured Zetaproteobacteria bacterium. RNAcentral's name for it is "bacterial SSU rRNA". It matches the Rfam family "Bacterial small subunit ribosomal RNA", at positions 35 to 887 of the family's 1533-position model. The record is from RNAcentral. Lineage: Bacteria; Pseudomonadati; Pseudomonadota; Candidatius Mariprofundia.